This 514-nucleotide ribosomal RNA is filed under the name uncultured bacterium. Its description in RNAcentral is "bacterial SSU rRNA". It matches the Rfam family "Bacterial small subunit ribosomal RNA", at positions 29 to 536 of the family's 1533-position model. The record is from RNAcentral.
AUUGAACGCUGGCGGCAUGCCUAACACAUGCAAGUCGAACGGUAACAGGCCCUUCGGGGCGCUGACGAGUGGCAGACGGGUGAGUAACGCGUAGGAAUCUGCCCUGUAGUGGGGGAUAGCCCGGCGAAAGCCGGAUUAAUACCGCAUACGAUCUACGGAUGAAAGCGGGGGACCGCAAGGCCUCGCGCUAUAGGAUGAGCCUACGUCUGAUUAGCUAGUUGGUAGGGUAAUGGCCUACCAAGGCGACGAUCAGUAGCUGGUCUGAGAGGAUGAUCAGCCACACCGGAACUGAGACACGGUCCGGACUCCUACGGGAGGCAGCAGUGGGGAAUAUUGGACAAUGGGGGAAACCCUGAUCCAGCAAUGCCGCGUGUGUGAAGAAGGCCUGCGGGUUGUAAAGCACUUUUGUUGGGAAAGAAAAGGGGCCGGAUAAUACCCGGCCGUCUUGACGGUACCCAAAGAAUAAGCACCGGCUAACUCCGUGCCAGCAGCCGCGGUAAUACGGAGGGUGACG